Molecule: ribosomal RNA, 495 nt
Filed under: Triticum aestivum (bread wheat)
Lineage: Eukaryota; Viridiplantae; Streptophyta; Magnoliopsida; Poales; Poaceae
Description: partial small subunit ribosomal RNA
Source: RNAcentral
AUGCUUGAAGAAUUUUGCCGGAACUUCGAGGAAGAGACUGGGCGAGUUGAGACAAGCUUGGACCCCAUUCAUUCUCCGGUGAAGGACGAGGCUGCCAUGAAUGUACUCCGAUUGGAAUCUCGUGUUGCUGGUGUUGUUGAUUAUCUUGCUCGAUUGAAGGUCGCGAUGUCGCGGAUCGACACAGCACUCUGGCCAGGGGCAACACUCCAAAAUGACCUCGAGUCUCUGAUGACUCGACUUAAUGAGAUUCCCGGUCGAGUGCAAGAAUGGAAGAAGUCUUCUGCCCGGUGCGGCGCUGAUGUGGCCCUGUCUUUGGUUCGUGUCCACUGCAAGGAAGCGCGAGAAGAGAAGCUGGUAGCGAUCAAGGUUGCCAACACCAAGAAGCACGACUUCCAAUCCUUCAUGGAGACCUUCAUUGCUGCCGCCACUCGGAUUGCCGAUGGAAUUGACCUGGACAAAUUCGUCGAGCCUGCCAGCCCUCCUCCUGCGGAGUGA